This 75-nucleotide transfer RNA is filed under the name Clostridium sp. Its description in RNAcentral is "tRNA-Gln". It matches the Rfam family "tRNA". Rfam says of the family: Transfer RNA (tRNA) molecules are approximately 80 nucleotides in length. Their secondary structure includes four short double-helical elements and three loops (D, anti-codon, and T loops). Further hydrogen bonds mediate the characteristic L-shaped molecular structure. tRNAs have two regions of fundamental functional importance: the anti-codon, which is responsible for specific mRNA codon recognition, and the 3' end, to which the tRNAs corresponding amino acid is attached (by aminoacyl-tRNA synthetases). tRNAs cope with the degeneracy of the genetic code in two manners: having more than one tRNA (with a specific anti-codon) for a particular amino acid; and 'wobble' base-pairing, i.e. permitting non-standard base-pairing at the 3rd anti-codon position. The record is from RNAcentral. Lineage: Bacteria; Bacillati; Bacillota; Clostridia; Eubacteriales; Clostridiaceae.
AGGGAUAUCGCCAAGUGGCAAGGCACCGCACUCUGACUGCGGCAUUCGUAGGUUCGAAUCCUACUAUCCCUGCCA